This 297-nucleotide ribosomal RNA is filed under the name uncultured bacterium. RNAcentral's name for it is "partial 16S ribosomal RNA". It matches the Rfam family "Bacterial small subunit ribosomal RNA", at positions 775 to 1067 of the family's 1533-position model. The record is from RNAcentral.
GGAUUAGAUACCCUGGUAGUCCAUGCCGUAAACGAUGUGUGCUAGUUGUCGGAGUCCUUAGGGCUUCGGUGACGCAGAGAAAUCAUUAAGCACACCGCCUGGGGAGUACGGCCGCAAGGUUAAAACUCAAAGGAAUUGACGGGGACCCGCACAAGCGGUGGAGCAUGUUGUUUAAUUCGAAGCAACGCGAAGAACCUUACCCACUCUUGACAUCCUCCUUGGGACUUUCAGAGAUGAUUGUCUUCGGUUCGGCCGGGGGAGUGACAGGUGCUGCAUGGCUGUCGUCAGCUCGUGCCG